This 673-nucleotide ribosomal RNA is filed under the name uncultured Vibrionaceae bacterium. Its description in RNAcentral is "bacterial SSU rRNA". It matches the Rfam family "Bacterial small subunit ribosomal RNA", at positions 1 to 671 of the family's 1533-position model. The record is from RNAcentral. Lineage: Bacteria; Pseudomonadati; Pseudomonadota; Gammaproteobacteria; Vibrionales; Vibrionaceae.
UAGAGUUUGAUCAUGGCUCAGAUUGAACGCUGGCGGCAGGCCUAACACAUGCAAGUCGAGCGGAAACGAGAAUAGCUUGCUAUUCGGCGUCGAGCGGCGGACGGGUGAGUAAUGCCUGGGAAUAUGCCCUGAUGUGGGGGAUAACUAUUGGAAACGAUAGCUAAUACCGCAUAAUCUCUUCGGAGUAAAGAGGGGGACCUUCGGGCCUCUCGCGUCAGGAUUAGCCCAGGUGGGAUUAGCUUGUUGGUGGGGUAAAGGCUCACCAAGGCAACGAUCCCUAGCUGGUCUGAGAGGAUGAUCAGCCACACUGGAACUGAGACACGGUCCAGACUCCUACGGGAGGCAGCAGUGGGGAAUAUUGCACAAUGGGCGAAAGCCUGAUGCAGCCAUGCCGCGUGUAUGAAGAAGGCCUUCGGGUUGUAAAGUACUUUCAGUUGUGAGGAAGGGGGUAGCGUUAAUAGCGCUAUCUCUUGACGUUAGCAACAGAAGAAGCACCGGCUAACUCCGUGCCAGCAGCCGCGGUAAUACGGAGGGUGCGAGCGUUAAUCGGAAUUACUGGGCGUAAAGCGCAUGCAGGUGGUUUGUUAAGCAAGAUGUGAAAGCCCGGGGCUCAACCUCGGAACAGCAUUUUGAACUGGCAGACUAGAGUACUGUAGAGGGGGGUAGAAUUUCA